RNAcentral lists this long non-coding RNA (2257 nucleotides) under Gossypium raimondii (Peruvian cotton). RNAcentral's name for it is "long non-coding RNA (GRAI_LNC009014)". Lineage: Eukaryota; Viridiplantae; Streptophyta; Magnoliopsida; Malvales; Malvaceae. The record is from RNAcentral.
CAAAGUGAAGAUGAACCAAUAAGAAUCGACAUGCCCACUAAAGAGCAUAUUAACUUAUAUUAUUUAUGUGUGGUUUUGCAAUUAGUGUACAGAUCGAGAGAAGCGGCGAAACAAACAGGUGGCAGAACAUCGAGAGUUCACGCUAGAUCUAGGGUUGCCAGAGUCCAUGGAAGAGCCGCAAACUGUACCACUAAGGUAUAACACUAGGAGGCAACAUCAAUCUUGGCAACCCCGGUGAUGGAAGAAAUGACAAAAUGUAUAAAUGCUUACCUCGAGUACAACAUCACGUGAAACUAUGAAUACAGGAAGGUGAUGAGCCAUCUAGCCAAGCAAUUCAACAUAGAGUCAUUUCGAUGCCUGCAACCUCCAGCAUUUUGGACAGCACCAUCCGACGCCGCUCAAGUCGGACCAUCCAUUGCCCGAGGAAAGGAGUCGAGUCAUCUAGGAUGAGGGUGGCAUCACCGAGGAGUUCGUUGUCAACGACCUUGCUAACGAUUGAGGGAGUGAAAAAAUUAUUAUAUAUAAUUUUGUAUGUUUCUUUUUCUGUGCAGGAACCCCAUAAGGUAUGAGGCACUACAAAUUUGAGCCAAAAUCGCAAGGAGGAGUUAGUCCCACCAUUUGCGAUGGAUUUUUAACGCUAAUCUGGUAACCUCUUUCUUUUAUUUUUUAUAACACAUUAGGGACAAUGUGCUGAAUAAAGUGUGGGGGUGACAUAGGAAAAUUUUUAAAUCUUUUUGUUAUUUUUUUAAAAUUUUAUUUUGUGUACUUUGUUUGUGCUUGAACUUGUAGAAAUACAAGUUAUCCGUUAGGAGCAUAUACCUAAGUUGUUUGUUUAAUUUGUAAAUCUAGCCUGUAAUUAAAUAAUUUAGCUUUUUUAUAUUUAGAUUAAUGAGUUCAAUUUAUUAAACUGUAAAUAGGAAAAAGAAAUUAAAUACACCAAGUGAUAAAGGCAGAUACGAAUAGGUAAUUAUUUUUAUAGAAGUAUAGGAUGUUUGAAUUAAAAAGAAAAUACUCGAUAAAAUCCAUGAUUAUUGAAAUGUUGCAAUAUGACUAGUAUAACCCUUAUAAAAAGUGCCCGGAAAAAAAUCUUGAUCAUAUUGACACUAAUGAAAAAAAAAAGCAUAAGAGAUUAUUGGAGAAAUAUUACUGCAUUAGAUUUAAAAGCAUGGAAAAAAAUAAGUCAAGUAGGAAAAAAAUAUUCGAACUGACUAUACCCUGCAAAUAUAAAUACUGUAUUCCUCUAUACAUUUUGAUGGACCUAUGUAUUAAUUUUCUUUAACUUGUUUACUUUGUAAUUUAUUGAACUAAUCUGUUUAGGUGUGAAUAACUUUAAAUUGUUUAAAUUUCUAGUUAGAGUUAUAUAUUUAGGGAAAUCUUCUUAGUGUUGAUGCUCCAAUCCAAUCUUGUGUACCAAGCUAACUCAAGUACAUUUUAUUUCCAUUGCAUCUUUAUUUCCUGCUUUCAGUUUUAGUUUUGGUUUAUAUUUUAUUUUGUUUAGUUUGCUUGAGGACAAGCAAAGACUUAAGUGUGGGAGACUUUGACCUGACAUCAAAUAUAGUAUUUAUUUUAGGUCAUUUAUGCAUUUACAAGUUUGUUUCCUAGCACUUUUAUAAUUAAAUAUUACAUUUUUUGUAUUAGAAGCUUAGGAAUAAAAUAUUAAUAAAAUUAACAUUUUUACGUAUUUUUUUCUAUAUCGAUGACCCGUAAGGCCGAAUCAAGCCUCAUGAGUGACUAAUAAGCUAAUUAAGUGUGUAGGAUACCAAUUUGAGUCUAAGAAUACAAGGAAUGAUGACCUGGUCAUGAUACAAGGAAGCCUGGUAGCACAACGAAGUUGUCAGGGCCCAAGAAAGCACUUGAAGUCGUGACGAGGAUUUCCUCUUGUCACGAAUACGCAGCGAUUAGGGGAGGCAAUUCAUGGUGGUGACGUCGUGACAAGGAGCUCUCCCAUGUCCCGACGAUGUGACGAUGGCAGGCCAAAAUAUGGCUAAUUCCUUAGAUGAUACUUUUAGGAAAUUUCCUUAUUUGGAACUUAGCUUUUAGCUUAAUAUUUUAUUUAUUGAUAUCUAAGUGUAUCUUGGGUUAAGUGGUCACCAAGUAGGUCGUUGCCUAUUUAAGUAACUUUAGGAUCACCGAAAUUGGAAGCAGACCUAGACAAACAAUUUUUUAUUCAAUUUAAGUUUUCUUUUCUCUUCAUGUUCAUGCAGUCGAAAGUUUUCUAUUCCGAUGUGAAGACAAUUGCAAGCGGAGAUUGCUCUGG